UGUAUCUGUGAUGAUAUUUUGGCUCCCUCUACUGAACGCAGUGAGGAGAACCGCCAUCGUUACCCAAAUAUGUCUGAGAUGCA
This is a small nucleolar RNA of Megalops cyprinoides (Indo-Pacific tarpon), 83 nucleotides long. RefSeq annotates it as small nucleolar RNA SNORD100. The transcript has a single exon. Lineage: Eukaryota; Metazoa; Chordata; Actinopteri; Elopiformes; Megalopidae. The record is from RefSeq and is a predicted model, not a curated record.